This 465-nucleotide ribosomal RNA is filed under the name uncultured bacterium. RNAcentral describes it as "partial 16S ribosomal RNA". It matches the Rfam family "Bacterial small subunit ribosomal RNA", at positions 28 to 507 of the family's 1533-position model. The record is from RNAcentral.
GACGAACGCUGGCGGCGUGCUUAACACAUGCAAGUCGAACGGAAAGGCCCCUUCGGGGGUACUCGAGUGGCGAACGGGUGAGUAACACGUGAGUAACCUGCCCUUGACUUCGGGAUAACUUCAGGAAACUGGGGCUAAUACCGGAUAGGAAUCCUUGCUGCAUGGUGGGGGUUGGAAAGCUUCGGCGGUUUUGGAUGGACUCGCGGCUUAUCAGCUUGUUGGUGGGGUAGUGGCUUACCAAGGCUUUGACGGGUAGCCGGCCUGAGAGGGCGACCGGCCACAUUGGGACUGAGAUACGGCCCAGACUCCUACGGGAGGCAGCAGGGGGGAAUAUUGCACAAUGGGCGGAAGCCUGAUGCAGCAACGCCGCGGGCGGGAGGACGGCCUUCGGGUUGGAAACCGCUUUCAGCAGGGGCGAAGCUUGUGGUGACGGUACCUGCAGAAGAAGCACCGGCUAACUACGUG